Molecule: long non-coding RNA, 329 nt
Organism: Acyrthosiphon pisum (pea aphid)
Lineage: Eukaryota; Metazoa; Arthropoda; Insecta; Hemiptera; Aphididae
Exons: 3
Source: RefSeq, a predicted model, not a curated record
AAUCAUUAUUAGGUAAAUGAAAAAAUGGGUGUGAGCAUGGUCGGUGAAUCAUCGUGUAUGUAAUAGUAUAAUAUGUAUAGCAUCAUCCCCUCCUACCGACCUCUCAGCGACAGUAAGUUGUCGUUACGCGUCGUCCGUCCGUCCGUAGGUCCGCGGCCGCAGUGCGCGAUGGGUAACUGUAAAUUAUUUGUUGGAGGAAAAAGUCGGAGAACGAGCGAGCAGCGCUUAUAAAUUACCACGCUCCGUCGUAUAGGUACCUAUACUGCAGUUGUAGCUGUGAGUACCUCCGUAGUAUACUCAGAGUCUUCAGCCAUCGGCUCAAGAGCAUC